ACUGUGUGUUGUGAAGCACAUUACGGUUACGUGCAGUGAUCUGCAGGCCGUCCCAUUAAGCUGCUCCCCCUUCACUGCCUGCACUACUCUGGGCAUGGGGGUCACAGCGUGGGGGUCACAGUGGGGUGAGGGAUUCGCUGGGGUCCUGGGGGGGGUCACAGCUCACGUCCUGCUGUGGUGGUUCGGGUGUGCCGUGCUCACAGGGCCCUGCAUCCGACCCCACCUCUGGGGACACAUCCGUCCCCUCCACUCUCUCCUCCGAUCCCCCUGGGGAUGGACCUCCCCAUGCCCCCUCCGCAGGGCUGAUCUCACUGUCG
RNAcentral lists this long non-coding RNA (317 nucleotides) under Gallus gallus (chicken). Lineage: Eukaryota; Metazoa; Chordata; Aves; Galliformes; Phasianidae. The record is from RNAcentral.